This is a non-coding RNA of Podarcis lilfordi (Lilford's wall lizard), 74 nucleotides long. Lineage: Eukaryota; Metazoa; Chordata; Lepidosauria; Squamata; Lacertidae. The record is from the annotation of a GenBank genome assembly.
GGAGCUUUGUUGCUCAGUGGAAGAGCAUCUGCUUUGCAUGCUGACGGCCUUGGGUUCAAUCUCUGGCAACUUCA